ACCCGCUGAAUUUAAGCAUAUAAUUAAGCGGAGGAAAAGAAACUAACUAGGAUUCCCUCAGUAACGGCGAGUGAAGCGGACUAGCUCAGGAUGUGAAUCUGCGCUUUUAUGGCGCCGAAUUGUGGUCUAUAGACUUUGACAUUAUCUGCCGGGCCAAGUUCCUUGGAAAAGGACAGCUGAGAGGGUGAGACUCCCGUCCGCCUGGCUGAAUGAGUCAUUUGUCAACGAGUCGAGUUGUUUGGGAUUGCAGCUCUAAUUUGGUGGUAAAUUCCAUCUAAAGCUAAAUAUUGGUGGGAGACCGAUAGCGUACAAGUACCGUGAGGAAAGAUGCAAAGAACUUUGAAAAGAGAGUUAAAGAGUACCUGAAACUGCUGAAACGGAAGCGAAGGAAACCAGUGUUUGUUUGUUCAUAUUUCCCUGGCCACUUGUGGUUUGGGCGCUGUGAGCUUGCGUGAGUUUGGGUUGGUUGAUCCCUUUGGAAGAGCGCAGUCAGAGUUGAUGUCUGUUGCUAGCACUGGGUUUGACUGAUGCAGACGAAAUGGUUUUCUUUACCCCGUCUUGAAACACGGACCAAGGAGUCUAACAUAUGUGCGAGUACAGGGGUGUCAAACCCCGGUGCGUAAUGAAAGUGACAGUGGUUGGAAUUUUGCACAAUCCGCCGGCCUCAAUCCCUCGGGAGAACGGUCUGAGUGUGAGCAUACAUGUUGGGACCCGAAAGAUGGUGAACUAUGCCUGAAUAGGGUGAAGCCAGGGGAAACUCUGGUGGAGGCUCGUAGCGAUUCUGACGUGCAAAUCGUUCGU
This 801-nucleotide ribosomal RNA is filed under the name Pseudo-nitzschia americana. RNAcentral describes it as "LSU rRNA". It matches the Rfam family "Eukaryotic large subunit ribosomal RNA", at positions 23 to 905 of the family's 3401-position model. The record is from RNAcentral. Lineage: Eukaryota; Bacillariophyta; Bacillariophyceae; Bacillariales; Bacillariaceae.